This 500-nucleotide ribosomal RNA is filed under the name uncultured bacterium. RNAcentral describes it as "partial 16S ribosomal RNA". It matches the Rfam family "Bacterial small subunit ribosomal RNA", at positions 30 to 523 of the family's 1533-position model. The record is from RNAcentral.
AUUGAACGCUGGCGGCAGGCCUAACACAUGCAAGUCGAGCGGAUGACGGGAGCUUGCUCCUGGAUUCAGCGGCGGACGGGUGAGUAAUGCCUAGGAAUCUGCCUGGUAGUGGGGGACAACGUUUCGAAAGGAACGCUAAUACCGCAUACGUCCUACGGGAGAAAGCAGGGGACCUUCGGGCCUUGCGCUAUUAGAUGAGCCUAGGUCGGAUUAGCUUGUUGGUGAGGUAAUGGCUCACCAAGGCGACGAUCCGUAACUGGUCUGAGAGGAUGAUCAGUCACACUGGAACUGAGACACGGUCCAGACUCCUACGGGAGGCAGCAGUGGGGAAUAUUGGACAAUGGGCGAAAGCCUGAUCCAGCCAUGCCGCGUGUGUGAAGAAGGUCUUCGGAUUGUAAAGCACUUUAAGUUGGGAGGAAGGGUUGUAGAUUAAUACUCUGCAAUUUUGACGUUACCGACAGAAUAAGCACCGGCUAACUCUGUGCCAGCCGCCGCCGUAA